RNAcentral lists this ribosomal RNA (510 nucleotides) under uncultured bacterium. RNAcentral describes it as "partial 16S ribosomal RNA". It matches the Rfam family "Bacterial small subunit ribosomal RNA", at positions 28 to 507 of the family's 1533-position model. The record is from RNAcentral.
GACGAACGCUGGCGGCGUGCUUAACACAUGCAAGUCGAACGAAGAGCGAUGGAAGCUUGCUUCUAUCAAUCUUAGUGGCGAACGGGUGAGUAACGCGUAAUCAACCUGCCCUUCAGAGGGGGACAACAGUUGGAAACGACUGCUAAUACCGCAUACGAUCUAAUCUCGGCAUCGAGGAUAGAUGAAAGGUGGCCUCUACAUGUAAGCUAUCACUGAAGGAGGGGAUUGCGUCUGAUUAGCUAGUUGGAGGGGUAACGGCCCACCAAGGCGAUGAUCAGUAGCCGGUCUGAGAGGAUGAACGGCCACAUUGGGACUGAGACACGGCCCAGACUCCUACGGGAGGCAGCAGUGGGGAAUCUUCCGCAAUGGACGAAAGGCUGACGGAGCAACGCCGCGUGAGUGAUGACGGCCUUCGGGUUGUAAAGCUCUGUUAAUCGGGACGAAAGGCCUUCUUGCGAAUAGUGAGAAGGAUUGACGGUACCGGAAUAGAAAGCCACGGCUAACUACGUG